RNAcentral lists this ribosomal RNA (163 nucleotides) under Pericallis tussilaginis. Its description in RNAcentral is "5.8S ribosomal RNA". It matches the Rfam family "5.8S ribosomal RNA". From Rfam's summary of the family: 5.8S ribosomal RNA (5.8S rRNA) is a component of the large subunit of the eukaryotic ribosome. It is transcribed by RNA polymerase I as part of the 45S precursor that also contains 18S and 28S rRNA. Functionally, it is thought that 5.8S rRNA may be involved in ribosome translocation. Lineage: Eukaryota; Viridiplantae; Streptophyta; Magnoliopsida; Asterales; Asteraceae. The record is from RNAcentral.
AAACGACUCUCGGCAACGGAUAUCUCGGCUCACGCAUCGAUGAAGAACGUAGCAAAAUGCGAUACUUGGUGUGAAUUGCAGAAUCCCGUGAACCAUCGAGUUUUUGAACGCAAGUUGCGCCCGAAGCCUUUUGGCCAAGGGCACGUCUGCCUGGGCGUCACAC